GAAAUGCGAUAAGUAGUGUGAAUUGCAGACUUUAGUGAAUCAUCGAAUCUUUGAACGCACAUUGCGCCCCUUGGUAUUCCAUUGGGCAUGCCUGUUCGAGCGUCAUUUACACCCUCAAGCUACGCUUGGUGUUGGGCGUCUGUCCUCGCUUUCCGCGAGGACUCGCCCCAAAUUCAUUGGCAGCGGCAUCGCCGGCUUCUCGCGCAGCACAUUGCGCUUGAGAAGGUCCCCGGUGGGCUCGCAUCCAGCAAGAACCCCCCCAGUUUGACCUCGAAUCAGGUAGGGAUACCCGCUGAACUUAA
RNAcentral lists this unclassified non-coding RNA (302 nucleotides) under uncultured Pleosporales. RNAcentral's name for it is "sequence contains ITS1". The stretch from base 1 to 105 matches the Rfam family "5.8S ribosomal RNA", at positions 50 to 154 of the family's 154-position model. Lineage: Eukaryota; Fungi; Ascomycota; Dothideomycetes; Pleosporales. The record is from RNAcentral.